This 761-nucleotide long non-coding RNA is filed under the name Arachis ipaensis. RNAcentral describes it as "long non-coding RNA (AIPA_LNC001200)". The record is from RNAcentral. Lineage: Eukaryota; Viridiplantae; Streptophyta; Magnoliopsida; Fabales; Fabaceae.
UGAUAUUCCCCUUUUUUUUAAUUAUAGUUACUGUCGCAGGAAGCGGUGAAGAGGAUUCGAAAUCGAAAAAAAUAUUGAAAAUUCCUCCUAUUUUUUUUUUAGAAUUCGAAUCGAAUAGAAUAAGUUAGAAAAGAGAAAGAAUAAAAGAAAAGGUGGAUUUGUACUUCACGAAACUCGAAAUCUGGUAUAGGCUUCAAUGGAAUUGAAUGAAUAAUUCAAUUCCAUUCUUAAUAUUAAGAGAGUAAGACCGGAAAUGGAAAUAGAAUAGUUAGGUUGGCGGCAACAAUAUCAUUUAAGAUACUUAAAUGAAAACCAAAAUACUGUACUGCGUUUCGAAAAAUUGUUUGAAAUCCUUGUUUUGUUUGUAUUACCUCAAUUUUCCGGUAAUAUAUUAAUUGAAACGAAAUUGGAUUUAGAAUUAUCAACUUUUAUUUCUUUGUCAUUCCUUUCUUCGUCGAAUACAAAAAUAGAUAGAGAUAUCCAUUCAUUCUCUUAGAGACCAAAAACGUAAUUGAAGUUCAAUCAGCCAGAAUAAAAGAAUAAUGGAAGUCCCAUUCCCAUAUAGGGAUUGGAUAGAUAACAAAAUUCACAACAAUAAUGUGGGUAUUGCAAAAAAGAUUUGGGUAAGGAUUCAUUGAGAUUGUAAAUUUUGAACAAUACUUUUUUCGUAUGAACCAAGCCAAUAGGAUGAACUGAAAAGGUUAUGCAUCAUGAACUAUGUAACGUUCACAUCAAUAUCUAUUCUAUUAUAUUGCCGCGAA